Molecule: non-coding RNA, 698 nt
Organism: Bactrocera oleae (olive fruit fly)
Lineage: Eukaryota; Metazoa; Arthropoda; Insecta; Diptera; Tephritidae
Source: RefSeq, a predicted model, not a curated record
UGAGUUACAGUUAGACGAUUUAUCGAGAAAUUCGUUACAAUAUAAUGUUCAUAUAUCAAAUUUUUUUUUGAACCUCUACUGUCCAUUUGGCACAGCAAUAUGUAAAAUUUGUUUACACCAUAGGCAAUAUAAUAUCUAUGGGUAUGAGGAAUGUUUGACAUUAAUUUAUAGCUGCCGCUUUUAUUUGGGGACGGCUUAGUGAUCGAACUCAAGACUUUGGGAAUGGAAAGUUUUUUUAGGGGACGUCUUUCUAAGUUACGUAGUACAUAGUACAUAUAAGUAAGUACGUUUUUGGAGUAAGCCAAUUGUGAUUGAUUUGUUUUAAAUUAAUAAUCUCAGACACAUACAAUUAAGAGUGACUGUAGAACAGACAGAAAAUGAUUAAGCAAACGCACACUGAGUUAUUAAAUAUUGUUGGAGAGUUAGAAACUCUUCCCGCAGAUACGUACACCGUUCAACAGGCAGUAAAUCUCUUAGGAUUUGGAUGGUUUCACGUUAAACUAUCACUUUUUGUUGGACUUUGUUGGAUGGCCGACUCUAUGGAAAUGACAAUACUUAGUAUUAUUGGACCAACAACGCAAUGCGAAUGGAACAUAUCUACUUACCAAAAAGCAUUUAUGACAACCAUUGUAUUUUUGGGAAUGAUCAUUAGCCCUUCAUUUUGGACUCAAUUAAGUGAUCGAUAUGGCCGUAAAUCG